UACAGAGGGGGCAAGCGUUAUUCGGAAUUAUUGGGCGUAAAGGGCGCGUAGGCGGCUUCGCAAGUGGUGGGUGAAAUCCCUCGGCUUAACCGAGGAACUGCCCUCCAAACUGCGUUGCUCAGAGUCCGGGAGAGGUGAGUGGAAUUCCCAGUGUAGCGGUGAAAUGCGUAGAUAUUGGGAGGAACACCAGUGGCGAAGGCGGCUCACUGGACCGGUACUGACGCUGAGGCGCGAAAGCGUGGGGAGCAAACGGG
This 254-nucleotide ribosomal RNA is filed under the name uncultured Acidobacteriota bacterium. Its description in RNAcentral is "uncultured Acidobacteria bacterium partial 16S ribosomal RNA". It matches the Rfam family "Bacterial small subunit ribosomal RNA", at positions 524 to 776 of the family's 1533-position model. The record is from RNAcentral. Lineage: Bacteria; Pseudomonadati; Acidobacteriota.